Long non-coding RNA from Fundulus heteroclitus (mummichog), 737 nucleotides. RefSeq lists it as uncharacterized. The record is from RefSeq and is a predicted model, not a curated record. NCBI's taxonomy places the organism in Eukaryota, Metazoa, Chordata, Actinopteri, Cyprinodontiformes, Fundulidae. The transcript is spliced from 2 exons.
CUUUCUCUGACACAAAAUAAAUGAAUCUGAUUAUCAGAAAAUCAAUUCAUUAACUAACUGUCAGGGUUCUCUGUUUGGUCGGUGUUCUAACUCUGCUACACAGGUGGUUCUAGUUGGCUGGGGGGCGUGGCCCACACCUGCAGCUCGUUUGGAGCAGUGUUCACUGGCGUCUUAAGGAUGACUCAGACAGAUGGAAGACGCCAGAGCCUUACCCAGUCGUGAUACGACGUGGCCUCUGACCAGAUCUUGGAAACCUGACCUUGUGAGUUUUUUCGUAUCUCUGAAAUCUUUUUGGAUCUCCUGCUUUUUCUUUGUUUUUGUUUGGACUACUCACCCGCCUUGACGUCUCACUCGAGGAACCAGCUCCUAAGAAUCCCUGAAGCUCAGAUAUUGCUCUGGCGCUCCCCCUCUUACUCACUUGGUGAUACCAAGCCGGGCCUGAGAUUCCCUUCCCUGGAUUCUGCUGGUUCCUCCGCACUCUGGUUGCUCCUUCUGCCACUACUGCCUGCCGUGGCUCGCUCAGGAUCCCUCGCCGACUUACCAUCAGUCCGCCCUCCAGCCGCUAACCACCAGCUAUCCACCGUGAGCAUUCGGUCUCAGAGUUCCCUCGUCACUACUUCCCCAGUUAGGUUUGCCCAACUAUAUGUUUCUCCAGCACUGACGUUCAGACCUCAACAGAUCCCAUCAUCAGAAUCGACCUCUGUAGUCUGAAUUUAAAUAAAACAUCUUAAACUGCG